Molecule: unclassified non-coding RNA, 442 nt
Filed under: Hevea brasiliensis (rubber tree)
Lineage: Eukaryota; Viridiplantae; Streptophyta; Magnoliopsida; Malpighiales; Euphorbiaceae
Source: RNAcentral
GGAAGAGUCACAAAUUAUCAACAGAAUGUGCAAGGCCCAUGCCUCUCCCCAAAAAACAACAAUACUUCAUCAAACCAAAAAUACGACAGCAAACCAAAACACAAUACCUAGAAUCGAGACACAAUUCUAGAGCAUUUAUGAACCCAAACAUCAAUAACGCAUAACACAACUUAUCUGAUGGCGGUCUCCGCUUAUUUCAUGGUAGGGCACUCCCGAGCAAAAUGCCCGGCUUCGCCACAAGUGUAGCAAGACCCGCCGCCGCCCCCACUGCCUCGGCCACCACCAUACCGGCCUCCUCCACCGCCACCGCCAGAGUCAUACCGGCCUCCGCCGCCUCCACCACCACCACCACCCUGGUAGCAGUCCCUGGCCAAAUGCCCCACCUCACCACAAGAAUAACAAGCACCACCGCCUCCACCGCCAUAACCCCCACCGCCUCCGC